GGAGAGGUGGCUCAGUGGUGAAGAGCACCUACUGCUCUUCUGGAGGCCCCGGGUUCGAUUCCCAGCACCCCCA
RNAcentral lists this transfer RNA (73 nucleotides) under Rattus norvegicus (Norway rat). It matches the Rfam family "tRNA". Rfam says of the family: Transfer RNA (tRNA) molecules are approximately 80 nucleotides in length. Their secondary structure includes four short double-helical elements and three loops (D, anti-codon, and T loops). The record is from Rfam by way of RNAcentral. Lineage: Eukaryota; Metazoa; Chordata; Mammalia; Rodentia; Muridae.